CAGAACGAACGCUGGCGGCAUGCCUAACACAUGCAAGUCGAACGAUGCCUUCGGGCAUAGUGGCGCACGGGUGCGUAACGCGUGGGAAUCUGCCCUUGGGUUCGGAAUAACUCAGAGAAAUUUGAGCUAAUACCGGAUGAUGACGUAAGUCCAAAGAUUUAUCGCCCAAGGAUGAGCCCGCGUAAGAUUAGCUAGUUGGUGGGGUAAAGGCCUACCAAGGCGACGAUCUUUAGCUGGUCUGAGAGGAUGAUCAGCCACACUGGGACUGAGACACGGCCCAGACUCCUACGGGAGGCAGCAGUGGGGAAUAUUGGACAAUGGGCGAAAGCCUGAUCCAGCAAUGCCGCGUGAGUGAUGAAGGCCUUAGGGUUGUAAAGCUCUUUUACCAGGGAUGAUAAUGACAGUACCUGGAGAAUAAGCUCCGGCUAACUCCGUG
Molecule: ribosomal RNA, 436 nt
Filed under: uncultured bacterium
Lineage: Bacteria
Description: bacterial SSU rRNA
Rfam family: Bacterial small subunit ribosomal RNA
Source: RNAcentral